GUCUAUUGACUAAACAGCUAGUUGUGGUCAAUUUAGAUCUAACUUGCAAUUCAUUUGUCCAAAAUAGAAGUGUCUCAAAAUAAUGCUUCAACACUGCUGUGGAUUUCUUUUUCUAGCAGGCUGUUCCCAACUCACAUUAACGCACUUCUCUUAAUGAAUAGACUCCAUUGUUGUAUCUGUAAUUACCAAAGUGGGAAAACUAAUUUUUGUUUGUUGCAAAUGCCCAUUCUAAAAUGUAGUCUAAAG
This is a non-coding RNA of Pelobates cultripes (western spadefoot toad), 246 nucleotides long. Lineage: Eukaryota; Metazoa; Chordata; Amphibia; Anura; Pelobatidae. The record is from the annotation of a GenBank genome assembly.